Molecule: ribosomal RNA, 446 nt
Filed under: uncultured bacterium
Lineage: Bacteria
Description: bacterial SSU rRNA
Rfam family: Bacterial small subunit ribosomal RNA
Source: RNAcentral
CCCAGACUCCUACGGGAGGCAGCAGUGGGGGAUAUUGCACAAUGGGGGGAACCCUGAUCCAGCGACGCCGCGUGGGUGAAGGAGCGUUUCGGCGCGUAAAGCCCUAUCGGCAGGGAAGAAGGAGGACGGUACCUGACUAAGAAGCCCCGGCUAACUACGUGCCAGCAGCCGCGGUAAUACGUAGGGGGCAAGCGUUAUCCGGAUUUACUGGGUGUAAAGGGGGCGCAGACGGCAGCGCAAGCCAGGAGUGAAAGCCCGGGGCCCAACCCCGGGACUGCUCUUGGAACUGCGCGGCUGGAGUGCAGGAGGGGCAGGCGGAAUUCCUGGUGUAGCGGUGAAAUGCGUAGAUAUCAGGAGGAACACCGGUGGCGAAGGCGGCCUGCUGGACUGCGACUGACGUUGAGGCCCGAAAGCGUGGGGAGCAAACAGGAUUAGAUACCCGAGUA